RNAcentral lists this transfer RNA (77 nucleotides) under Helianthus annuus (common sunflower). Its description in RNAcentral is "tRNA-Arg". It matches the Rfam family "tRNA". Rfam says of the family: Transfer RNA (tRNA) molecules are approximately 80 nucleotides in length. Their secondary structure includes four short double-helical elements and three loops (D, anti-codon, and T loops). Further hydrogen bonds mediate the characteristic L-shaped molecular structure. tRNAs have two regions of fundamental functional importance: the anti-codon, which is responsible for specific mRNA codon recognition, and the 3' end, to which the tRNAs corresponding amino acid is attached (by aminoacyl-tRNA synthetases). tRNAs cope with the degeneracy of the genetic code in two manners: having more than one tRNA (with a specific anti-codon) for a particular amino acid; and 'wobble' base-pairing, i.e. permitting non-standard base-pairing at the 3rd anti-codon position. The record is from RNAcentral. Lineage: Eukaryota; Viridiplantae; Streptophyta; Magnoliopsida; Asterales; Asteraceae.
GUAGCGCCUGUAGCUCAGUGGAUAGAGCGUCUGUUUCCUAAGCAGAAAGUCGAAGGUUCGACCCCUUCCUGGCGCGG